GGGAAUUUAGCUGAGUGGCAAAGUGCCUGCCUCAAAAGCACAAGGUCCUGAGUUUGAUUCCCAGUACCG
This 69-nucleotide transfer RNA is filed under the name Heterocephalus glaber (naked mole-rat). It matches the Rfam family "tRNA". From Rfam's summary of the family: Transfer RNA (tRNA) molecules are approximately 80 nucleotides in length. Their secondary structure includes four short double-helical elements and three loops (D, anti-codon, and T loops). Lineage: Eukaryota; Metazoa; Chordata; Mammalia; Rodentia; Bathyergidae. The record is from Rfam by way of RNAcentral.